Molecule: ribosomal RNA, 963 nt
Filed under: Adelolecia pilati
Lineage: Eukaryota; Fungi; Ascomycota; Lecanoromycetes; Lecanorales; Lecanoraceae
Description: eukaryotic LSU rRNA
Rfam family: Eukaryotic large subunit ribosomal RNA
Source: RNAcentral
GAUUGACCUCGGAUCAGGUAGGGAUACCCGCUGAACUUAAGCAUAUCAAUAAGCGGAGGAAAAGAAACCAACAGGGAUUGCCUCAGUAACGGCGAGUGAAGCGGCAACAGCUCAAAUUUGAAAUCUGGCCUCCUUCGGGGUCCGAGUUGUAAUUUGUAGAGGAUGUUUCGGGAGAGGCGCCGGUCUAAGUCCCUUAGAACAGGGUGUCGUAGAGGGUGAGAAUCCCGUAUGUGACUGGCGACCAAUCCCAUAUGAAACCCCUUCGACGAGUCGAGUUGUUUGGGAAUGCAGCUCAAAAUGGGUGGUAAAUUUCAUCUAAAGCUAAAUACCGGCCAGAGACCGAUAGCGCACAAGUAGAGUGAUCGAAAGAUGAAAAGCACUUUGGAAAGAGAGUCAAAAAGUACGUGAAAUUGUUGAAAGGGAAGCGCUUGCAACCAGACCUGUGCGUAGGCGAUCAACCUCUGUUCUCAGUGGUGCACUCGUCUUCGAUCAGGCCAGCAUCGGUUCGGGGGGCGGGAUAAAGGCCUUGGGAAUGUAGCUCCCCUCGGGGAGUGUUAUAGCCCUCGGUGCAAUGCCGCCAGCCCGGACCGAGGACCGCGCUUCGGCUAGGAUGCUGGCGUAAUGGUUGUAAGCGACCCGUCUUGAAACACGGACCAAGGAGUCUAACAUCUAUGCAAGUGUUUGGGUGUCAAACCCAUGCGCGUAAUGAAAGUGAACGGAGGUGAGAACCCCGAAGGGCGCAUCAUCGACCGAUCCAGAUGUCUUCGGAUGGAUUUGAGUACGAGCAUAGCUGUUGGGACCCGAAAGAUGGUGAACUAUGCCUGAAUAGGGUGAAGCCAGAGGAAACUCUGGUGGAGGCUCGCAGCGGUUCUGACGUGCAAAUCGAUCGUCAAAUUUGGGUAUAGGGGCGAAAGACUAAUCGAACCAUCUAGUAGCUGGUUCCUGCCGAAGUUUCCCUCAGGA